CUUUGUUCAGUGGAACGCCAUAGAAGAUAUAUAAGGUUUCUUUUGACUUUCAUUAUAUAGACAAAAAAAUUCAAUGGAAGUCAGUGGGAACCUUAGACUAUAAAAUAUAAGGCUUUAACAUUGCAUGCAAAUAUUAUAUUAUGAAAUUACAAUUAUAUAUACAGUAUGUAUAUAUAUAUAUAUAUAUAUAUAUAUAUAUAUAUAUAUAUAUAUAUAUAUAUAAGGCCCAAUGAGCAGGCUAUACUGUAUCAUGUUCACUGUAAAUCUUGAAUAUUAAAGGUGUUUCCGUCCCUGUCUGGUUUCCACAGCUCUGGAGGCUGAGAGAGUGUUUGCAGUGGUGGCUUUCCUCAUGUCGGUGAGCUCUGGACUGCUGUGUCUCAUGUUCGCUCUCUGUUGGAGGUCUCAAACUGUGCAUUCCUACUCGAACACUCGCUCGCUGCUGAUGGCAGGCCAGGCACUUGACCCGAGCACUCUGCUGCUGCUUACACUAGUACCUUCAGGAUUUUUCUUUUUUCUCAGCUGGGCGCUUUUUACCCAUCAACAUAUUGGUGAGAUCAGGGAUGACGUCAGUCGACUCGGCCUGUCCUAUUGGCUGGGAGUGGUGGGUUGGGCUUCGCUAUUGGCCGUGCUGCCUGUGGUCUUCCUGGCGGAGAAGUUUGUGGUUCCUGACAUCCUGCCGGAGUUAAAAAAGACUGCAGAAAUGUGGUGGAAGGCUCCCGAGGUUGCACACGCGCGAUCGUUUAGUGAGGGUUUCUAUCAUUCACAGCAUAAGUCUCAUCCUGACGUUAGGAGGUAUUUGUCAGUGCCUUGAACGAGAGGAAGGAGGUAGCAAGAAAAUACAAAAGAGAAGAGACUCUUGUCUCGCUGGUAUUCUAGCCAACUAUAUGAGCUGAGCAAAUGUCUCACAACAGGGGUUGAUGACCUGCAUGAGAAACCUGUAACUGCUUUCUGGGAUGUGGGACACAAAGCUACAGGUUAUAAGGUUGUGCGCUGGCCUUGACAGUGGUAUCACAGCUGUAUUUGGACGAGGACACCCAAAAAUGUGGUUAAUGGUAUACCAGAGUUCACUAUCUGUGUGAGACAUAAAGCUGAAAGGAUCUUGAUGUUGCAGACUAUUUCUCCAUAACUUUUUAUAGCCGUUGUCUGCAAUUGUACAGUGACUUCAGGGAGGUCUUUUUUUUAAAUGCAUUUUAAAUAUGCUGAAUUAUUGACUAUAAAUGUAAAUAAUUUUCAUGGCAUAAAUCUGUUGUGGUUUGUUCAGCUGUGCCUAUAGCACAGUUAACUAAACAUGAGUUAUAUAUAUAUAUAUAUAUAUAUAUAUAUAUAUAUAUGACACUAAAAUAGUGUCUUAAGUAAUGCUACUGCUGUUAUGGUUACCUCGAAUGCAUUAAUUAGCUCCAUAUUUAGCAAGAAAUGAAAAUAUGUGUUUUGACUGACUUUUAAAGUUAUUGAAACAUUAAAAAAAAAAUGGUGGUGAUCAUUUAAUUCCAGAUUGUUCUGCCCGUGCUCAGUUUUGCAGACAAUACUGAUUCAAAUAGCCACAGAGCACUUUUGACCUGCUAACACUUCUAGGUGCUUAUGCAGAAUUUAACACUACUAGAUGGUGCUACAAUUGUUUUUGUUUUUUGCGUCUCUUGUCUUUUUUUAUGCGGAAACAGUGCUCUCUACUGGCGAUAGUACAAAGAGCAUCCUGUUCUGUCUAUCAUUUGCAUUUUUAAAGCUCUAUUAAUUAUACUUUUUGUACUGUUUUUAACCAAUAAAUAAAAUGGUUAUCAUAUAAAGCUGAGUCA
Long non-coding RNA from Cyprinus carpio (common carp), 1790 nucleotides. NCBI's taxonomy places the organism in Eukaryota, Metazoa, Chordata, Actinopteri, Cypriniformes, Cyprinidae. The record is from Ensembl.